GAUCCAGUAGCUCAGCAGGUAGAGCACAUCCCUUUUAAGGAUGGGGUCUUGGGUUCGAAUCCCAACUGAGUCA
Molecule: transfer RNA, 73 nt
Filed under: Prevotellaceae bacterium
Lineage: Bacteria; Pseudomonadati; Bacteroidota; Bacteroidia; Bacteroidales; Prevotellaceae
Description: tRNA-Lys
Rfam family: tRNA
About the family: Transfer RNA (tRNA) molecules are approximately 80 nucleotides in length. Their secondary structure includes four short double-helical elements and three loops (D, anti-codon, and T loops). Further hydrogen bonds mediate the characteristic L-shaped molecular structure. tRNAs have two regions of fundamental functional importance: the anti-codon, which is responsible for specific mRNA codon recognition, and the 3' end, to which the tRNAs corresponding amino acid is attached (by aminoacyl-tRNA synthetases). tRNAs cope with the degeneracy of the genetic code in two manners: having more than one tRNA (with a specific anti-codon) for a particular amino acid; and 'wobble' base-pairing, i.e. permitting non-standard base-pairing at the 3rd anti-codon position.
Source: RNAcentral